CAAUAGCGUAUAUUAAAGUUGUUGCAGUUAAAAAGCUCGUAGUUGGAUUUCUGGUGGGAGCGAUCGGUCUGGCGCUUAGCGCGAGUACUUGCAUCGUCUCCGGCCAUCCUUGGGGAAAGUCUGUCUGGCAUUAAGUUGUCGGGCAGAGGAUCCUCAUCGUUUACUGUGAAAAAAUUAGAGUGUUCAAAGCAGGCUUAUGCCGUUGAAUAUAUUAGCAUGGAAUAAUAAGAUAGGACUUUGGUACUAUUUUGUUGGUUUGCGCACCAAAGUAAUGAUUAAUAGGGACAGUUGGGGGUAUUCGUAUUCCGUUGUCAGAGGUGAAAUUCUUGGAUUUACGGGAGACGAACUACUGCGAAAGCAUUUACCAAGGAUGUUUUCAUUAA
Molecule: ribosomal RNA, 383 nt
Filed under: uncultured eukaryote
Lineage: Eukaryota
Description: partial 18S ribosomal RNA
Rfam family: Eukaryotic small subunit ribosomal RNA
Source: RNAcentral